UUUAUGGAGAGUUUGAUCCUGGCUCAGGAUGAACGCUGGCGGCGUGCCUAAUACAUGCAAGUCGAGCGAACAGACGGGGGAGCUUGCUCCCCCGACGUUAGCGGCGGACGGGUGAGUAACACGUGGGUAACCUACCUAUAAGACUGGAAUAACUCCGGGAAACC
Molecule: ribosomal RNA, 164 nt
Filed under: Staphylococcus pettenkoferi
Lineage: Bacteria; Bacillati; Bacillota; Bacilli; Caryophanales; Staphylococcaceae
Description: partial 16S ribosomal RNA
Rfam family: Bacterial small subunit ribosomal RNA
Source: RNAcentral